Molecule: non-coding RNA, 20465 nt
Organism: Monodelphis domestica (gray short-tailed opossum)
Lineage: Eukaryota; Metazoa; Chordata; Mammalia; Didelphimorphia; Didelphidae
Source: RefSeq, a predicted model, not a curated record
UCCCAAGCAAUAAGGUACUGGAAAGAGGCUGCCCUGUUUUCUGUGAGAACUGAUUAGUGUCUUUUGAAGAAGGCAGUUGGCUACUACUGGGGAAGUAUUUUAGUGACUGUGGAGCGUGGGAAAAUAUUCCUUUGUUGGCAGAGAGGCGAACUUGUCAUGUAAACUAACUGAUAUAUCCAAGGAAAGGGACAGUAUUUCCGGCCGUUUGUUCCUUUCUAUUGAUGGGUGUAGGAGCUACAGGAAUGGAAAUACCCAAGGUAAUUCUUGACAUGGAGAUUUUGAAGAACUUACAGUUGGGUCUUUGCAAAGUGGCACUUACUAGUCAGGGUGUCAGUAAAGGCAAGUUACCCUUCCUGGAAGAACUUUGAAUGAGAUGCAAAGAGACCCUGGGAACUUGACCAGUCAAUCUUAGAAGCAUGAAGAGAAUGCAGUGGGAGGAAGUGGUGGCCGUGAGUCAGCAUGAGUCAUUCUGUUCCAAUGAGAAUGAAGGCUGACUGAGAGGCACCCUGUUCACAAGGAGGUGGAGCAACAGACUUCUCCCUGGCACUGCUUUGAAGACAGAUUCCCUGUGGAUGGUGAAGUUCUUCAUAGGCUCCUGGUUGUGGAUGAUGAUAUUGUAUUGAUUGAAUCAAGCCUCAGGACAUCACAGGCCCUCCUUGAAGAAUCUAUAUUUGCCAGAGGAGCUUAGCCUGUCUAAUCACACAGGAAAAAUCAAGUAGCUGAAGAAUUUUUCUUGCUAAGAUUUCAGCUCAUAUAUAGAAGGAUACGCUGUAGCUCUCGCUCAACAGUAUAAAGAGGACGAGAGUGGGCUGGAUUGCUUUUAGGAACUUGAAGAAAAAAUAUUGACUUUAAGCUUCUGAUGAAAGUGAAGGCUUUUCAAUGUUAACAUAUUACCAGUGUUACUUUAUGGCAACAAAACAUAAUGUUCUACUGCCUUCAAAGAAAUCAAGAGAAAUACCACAUAGAAAGCAAUGGAGAAGCCCAUGCUUAAUAUGAGCAGGCUGAAGCAUAUACCCCCAUGAGGAACUCUAAAGAGUGGUACAGUGGAUAGAAUGCCAGGCCUGGAAUCAGAAGACCCAAGUUCAAAUCCAGCUUCAGACACUUACUAGUUGUGUGACAUUGGGCAAUUCACUUACCCCUGUUUGCCUCAGUUUCCUCAUCUGUAAAAUGAACUGGAGAAGGAAAUGGUAAACCACUCUUGUAUCUUGCCAAGAAAAUCCCCCAAAAGGGUCCAAAAGACUGAACAACAACAAGAACAAAGAAGAAUAGGAGUAAAGGACAUCAUCAAGGAAUCCAACAACAGGAAAAGUUGAUGGACUGGUCAUAAGGCAAGAGUAAGGGAUGACAAGUGGACAGCCAGAAUGUUUCAUGGGCACUUGCCUGAUAAUAAGAGAAAAUGAGAAAGUCUCUGGCACAUUGAGUGGAUGCUUUGUGGUGAAAAAACAAGAGUCGGGUGGAAUAAUCAGGCAUAGAUAGAUUGUGAUGUGUAUUGUUGAAGAAAACUUCUGAAUAGAUGAUAUCACACCACCAUUUUGAGUUUGUGGUCAAACAAAGGAAUUUCAAUGGCCCUACAAUACCAACAGAGAACCUGCAUGAUUGUUCACAGUUGUCUGGGGAUACCUCCUGAGAAUGUGAAAUGCAAAGCAGGGAAAGAGCUCAAAGUAGAAGGUCUAAAAUAAGAAGAAUUGAGUGAAUCCAGGAAACAGAGACAAAAAGGAUUAAGCAGCUUGCGCAGAGUCUCACAGCUGAAACAAUAAAAAGCCAAUGGACUUGUCUAAAUCUACUGUCUGAGGUUGUCAGCAAACAUUUAUUAAACAUCUACUAUGUGCUUGCCAUCCUGUUAAGAGCUGAGAUGCAAUAAAGGCAGAAACAAUCUCUACAUUCAAGGAAUUUAAAAUCUCAUGGGAAAGACAACAUGCCAGACAUGUUUCUGAACUUCAAAGCUUGAGUUAAAAGUCACUGCCAAAGUGAGCAAUGGUGAGUUUUCUACAAACUUUUUACCUCAUUGUUUGUAGGAACUUUCUCCCAAGGUUCAGAUUUUUAUCCAUUUACAGAUGAGUAAAAGCAAAAACGAAACUGGAAAUUUAAACCAAUUGUAUAAAUAAGAUGGGGGCAUCUAGGUGGUACAGUGAUAGAGAGCAAGGCUUGGAGUCAGGAAGACUCAUCUUCCUGAGUUCAGAUUGCUUCAGACAUUACUAGCUAUGUGACUCUGGGCAAGUCACUUCACCCUGUUUUCCUUGGUGUCCUCAUCCAUAAAAUGAACUGGAGAGAGAAGUGGCAAAUGACUCCAGUAUCUUUGCCACGAGAACCCCAAAUGAGAUUGCAAAAAGUUGGACAUGAUCGAAAACCAUUGACAACAGUAACAACAACCACUAGAAGAUGGGGAUGGGGAAAAGAGGGGAAUUUUUUUAACCUGUGGUCUUUAUUUGGUAUUCAAAAUAUUAGGGACAAGGGUGGCUAAUGGAGGAAGGAUAUACUUUUACAGACAAGCAACUAAUAUUUGUCUUAACUGGGGCUACAACUUAAUUCCUUUCUCCUAAUAUGGCACAUGUAUAUCUCUAUCUACAACAUUGCAGUCACAGCUGGGUAGACUUUCAGUAUUGCCUAAAGAAUAAUUCAGAAGCAGAGAAAAUGCGAUCAUCUAAUGAUGUUACGGAACUUUACAACAUAAUUUCUCCUCUAAUUGAUGUUCUAGCUUAGUCAUAGCAUAGUCUGAUGUAAUUAUACUAAAAUAGAAGCAAAGAUACUAUGAGAUUAAUUAGCCAGUGCCUAUAAAGUUUCAAGCUUCUUCAGGAAAGAUUUUUUCUUCUCAGACUUGUGGUUUCAUCUUCUUAGUGAAGUCCCCGUAUGGAAAUUCCCUCCAAUAAAGCUGAUCAGCAAGUCAUCUGCAACAAAUAAUCUUAGAGUUGUCCAAAAAGUGCUUGUCUCAUGGUUACACAGUUAAUGAGGAUUAGAAGAAAGACUUGAAUCUAGGUGACCAAUCUGUUUUCCAUUAUAUUACACUAUUUACCUAGAAAGGAAGCCAUCCACUAAAUAAUAUUAUAUAUAUAUAUAUGCAUGUAUAUCUGUAUAUAUCUUUAUAUAUGUUGUAUUUUUAUAAUAAUUUAUCUAUAAUAAAUUAUUUUCUAACUCCUGGAGACCCAAUGUCUUGGCUGCUUCAAAAUCCACUAAACUUCAUGCCCUCUGACUCCACUAUGCCAUAUUGCAUGCCAGCUAUGGGCUGGACCAAAGGCAUAAGGGUAUUGUGGCACUGCUGCGUUUGGAGACAUCCACGCCCCUGGUCCAAGUUCUCUUCCCCAUUCUUCUACACCCAAACAGCUUCCUAGUCUGAGUGCCUCAGGGCUGUUUCUGGGACCCCUUUAGCACAAGAUGCCUACAUGGAGCUCAGCUGAGCUGAGUUCUACCUUUGCCUAAACUAUGAAGAAAGGACUGCUAAGCAAAUUGAUGGUAUAAAACAGCAGGGGAGGAAGGAGGGAGGGAGGGCAGUGUAUUUAAUCUAUGGAAGAAAACAGGCUGUUUUCAAACACUUAAGCAUCACUUAUUUGCAUGCAAACAAUUACAUCCUAAUUACAAAUUAUUCUUAGGAGUGCAUUUAAGCAGACCUGGCAGGACUGUUACUUGGCAGGACUUGGUUAACCAUUAUUAGUGUUACUCUAAGACUCACUUGAAUUCAAAUUUUUACAAAAUGCGUCGUCUACUAUAACUCAUUUAUAGAAUGUUUUUAAAGGAUUUACAGAGAGCUUUCCAAACAUUAUCUCAUUUGAUCCCUACAACAAUGCUAUGACAUAGAUUGAAUUACUAUUCUCAUUUUAUAAGUGAGGGAAUUGAGUCUCCCAGAUGUUGAGUGAUUUACCCAGGAAAACAGCUACUUAGUGUUCAAGACAUCAUCCCGGCCAAAGACUUCCCAACUCUAAUUAGAAAACCCCAUCUAUUUGCCCUGUUUAGUGAUAGUUUGCUUGAGACAAGGUUCUUGCCCUCAUAGGAGUUACAGACUAGUAAGAUCCACAUAAGAAACAUACUAAUAAACUACAUAUUUUAAAGGGACACAAAUAAGGUUCUAUAUGAGGUCUAAAGUGAAGGAAUGAGUCAUGAUUUAUUUCCUAUUUGAGGCCCAUGGUGGACUUUCAUGAUAAAGGUAAUUUCUGAUUUAGGAUUUUAAAAGUAGGCAGAAAUUCAACAGGUUGAAAGAGUGAAUGGGAGGACAUUUCAGGGAUAAUUAUUGAAAUUUCAUCUCCCAGGGUUUGUAAGAUUUCAGAUCUGGAAGAGAAAACAGAAAUCAUAUCAACUUUUUAUUAUGUAAAUUCUUUUAGAAGUUAGGUGAAAUCAAUAGAUGCCUCAGAAUACCGUUUUUAAAAUGAAUAAAAUUAUAUACAUGGAAUUAAAAAGGAAAUCACUUGAAAUAGAUAUCAAAGUAUUUUGUGGUUGAACAAGAGCAAGCAUACACACACACACACACACACACACAUACACACACACACUCCCUCAUCUUGCAGAUAAGAAAACUGAUGAUCAGGAAAGUAAACUGACUUGUCCAAGGUAAUGUACCAUUUCUUGAAACAACAUUCUAUAAUUUAUACUCUUUACAAAUUCAGGCUGUACCUUCCUCAUCUGCAAUUUGUAUGAAUUAGCAAAGUUUUACUGAAUUGUGAGGGUAAUACUUAAAACAUGCUUUAUGUCAUAAAGUUGAAUAUAGUAAUUAAGUCACUAUUAUUCAAAAAUAAAGUUUUUAAAAGGUGAUUCAAAAUGUUAAAAUGUGCAUAAAAAUACAUGAAACCAGAACAUUGUUGCCCAUCUCUGAGUCAUUUAUUAGAAAACAAUACAAAAAGAUUCAUUAGGGAAAAAAAUCAAAAGAUCUGUUGAGUUCACCAUGACCUGAAAUCUUCCUUCUGGAAAGUGAGUCUUCCUUUUGGCAGAAAUGUCCAUUUAACUAGCCUACUUUCUUUUGGUUGAUUGUUCUUUUGUGUUUGUGUGGUUACUCCCAACCCAAUCAAUCAGUGCCUUUGUUUGAUCCCUUCUUCUGUCAUCCCAAGAUGCUUUUAGCAUAGGGGACACAGAAGUGGGGUUGAAUUUGCUGUCAAUUAUGCAGUUAUCUGUCAAUGCUGGUUAAUGGAUUUUAUGAUUGUUCAUUUCACAUUGCUCUCCAGCAUUUCCAUCUUCCUUAAGUCUUCAAUAAGUUCUGGUCACACAAAUUCAAUUCAGUUUUAUCAAAGGAAACAAUCUCUUUGAGCUAGAAAAGACAGGAUUUCUGGAUUUCAUCUCAAAGUUGUAAAGACUUUCAAAAGUAAUCUAUGAACAUCUACUUGAACAAGAAUUUUCUCCCAAAUGUAUCAGACAAGAAGCCAUUCAUAUUUUCCUUGAAGAUACCCAGUGAGGGAAAAACUGCCUGAUGAAACUGAUGAAACUCAUUCUCCUUUGGAAUAGCUUUUCCUUUAACCCAUGCUUACCUAAUUUUUAAAUUCCAUCCAUUGAUCCUCAUUGUGCCCUCUGGAGCAUGAGAGACCUUAAAAACUGGGUGACAGCUAUCAUGAAGUCCCUCCCCAAACUCCAAGCUAUAUAUCCUGAGUUCCUUCCACCUUUCCUCAUAGAAUCUAAACUCAAGGUUCUCAUCAUCCUGAUUUUUCUCCCUAAAUAUUCUCCAACUUCUUUAAGAUUCUCCCUAAAAUAUAUAUUCCACUAGACUUCUGGACAGGACAGAAAACAGGAUUAUUUAAUUAUUUCUUGAGGUUGUAUCUCUCUUAACAGCAGCUUUAAGGUGAUACAGUGGAUAGAGCAUUGGGCUUUAAGUAAGGAAGAUCUGAGUUCAAAUCCAGGCUCAGACAGUUACUCAUUAUGUGUUCCUGGAUAAGUCAUUUAAUCUCUAUUUGUCUCAGUUUUCUCAUUGGUGAAAUGGGAAGAAUAAUAAUGUUUAUCUUCCAGGGUUGUUAUGAAGAUGAAAUUAGAUCAUUGUAAAUUGCUUAAUAUAGCACAGGGCACAUAGUGUUAUAUAAAAGUUAAAUCUAUUAUUAUGUCAGCUAUUAUUAAUGUACCUGAAGAAUAGAUUCAGUUUCUUGGCUGCUGUAAUAUACUUUUGGCUCAUAUGGAACAAUAAUCUGCUAAAACUCCCAUAUUUUUCCCAGGACUUCUGUGGAUUCAUGUUUCCCCUAUCUUGUACCUAACAAGAUUUCUAGACUCCAAGGAUAAAACUUUGCCCUUACCCCCUAUUUAAGUUAAUUUCAUUAAGUUGGCUCAAUUUUCUAGCCUGUCAAGAUAUUUUAGACUUGUAUCAUCUGAUGUGUUAACUCUUCCUCCAAGCUUUGUAAUGGUUCCAGAUCUGAUAAACAUGACCUCAACAUCUUUAUCCAAGUCAGUAAUAAGAAUAUUAUAUAGCACAGGAUUAAGCAGGAAGACCUAAGGCAUUCCACUAGAGACCUCCUUCUAAACUGAAAUUAAAGUAUUAAUAACUAUCAUUUGGAUCUGAUCAUUCAACCAGCCUCAAAUCUAACUGUACUCUCAACUCCUACACUUUCUAUUCCACACCUCUCCUCUGCCCCCAAGAAUUGUAUGAGAGAAACUAUCAAAUGUUUUGCUAAAAAUCUAGGUAACUCAUGUACAGCAUCCCCUUAAUCUACCAGGUUAGUGAUCCUGAAAAAAAAGGAAAUGAAGUUAAUCUGACAUAACACAAUCUUGAUGAAGACAUGUUUACUCUUUGUGAUGACCAUUUCCUUUUCUAGAUUUUCACUGACUAUCUAUGAGACGAUCUCCUCAUUUUACAGAUGACUAAACCAAGACUCCAAAGGAAAUGUGAUUUAUCUAAGAACAUGCAGCUAGUCAAUGUCAGAGUAGAAUAAGUGUCCUGCUCUUCUGUCUUUUUUGUGAUGCAUUUUCUGCAUAUUGGUGCAGGAAAACAACUUGCUCUUUCAUUCAUGUUUAAGGAGAAAGAAAAUACAUAUUUAAAACCAAGUUGAAAAAUAUCAGGUUUUUUAUUGUUCUCCUGCUCUUUUCAUUAGCAUAAAUUAGUAAAAGCUGAUUGAGUAAUGAAUUGUUGGCUCUUUCAGUAUCCUGCUGCCCCUUAUCCUUUGAAUAUUUCCCUGAAGUGAUAGACCUUUAAUAGAAACUGUAGUCAGCCCCACUCAUAGUAGCUGCCUCUACCAUGUGAUUUGUGGGCUAAGAGAAGCUUCUACUUUCCACCCCAAAAGCCUAAUUUGGUAUUAUUUUACCCCUAGGUCAAUUCAACAAGCAUUUAUUAUAUAGCUACUAUGUCCAUGGAACUUAUUAAGUGCUGAGAAUACAAAGCUUUCUACAACUCUGCUAUUUUUCUAAAGGAAUUUGCAAUUCAAUGAUGAUGAUGAUGAUGAUGAUAGCUAGCAUUGAUAUAGUGCCCACUAUGAGUCAGGCUCUUCAGAAAUAUCUUAUUUAAUCUACACAACAACCCUUUGAGUUAGAUGCUAUUAUUUUCCCCAUAUUAUUUUUGCUGAUGAGAAAACUGAAACACAAAGGCUAAGUGACUUAAUUGAGAUCAUAGUAAGUAUUUGGGGCUAGAUUUGAAAUUAGGUCUUCCUGAAUCCAAGCCCCACACUAUCUAUCCAUGGUACCCACCUAGCAGUAAUUCACACACACACAUAUUAUUUUAAAGUUUUCAAAGUGUUUCCAUAAUUAAUUUAUCUUAACCUCCCAACAAACCUUCAUGGAAGGUACUACAGAUAUAAUUAUUCCUAUUUUAUAGAUGAGGAAACUGAGGCUCAGAGGAAUUAAGUAAUUUGCCCAUGGUGACACAACUAGUAUGUAUUGGAAAUAGGAUCUGAGUUCUAUACCAAUAAAUCCUAUUAAAGAUCAAGCCAAGGCAUCACCUUUCAACCUGACUCCAGGUUUAGCAUUAAUCUACUAUGCCACUUGGGUGGUAGGAACAAGAGGGAAACAUGUACCUUAGAUGACGCCCAAAGUUCCUUUUCACCACAAAAUUCUGAGCUGGGGAAGGUAGAUAUGACGAAGGAGGGAUAGGGUACAGAAGGCAGAGUGAAGAGCUCUUGAAAGGGAAAUAGAAAAGAUCAUUGAUGACAAAUUUACCAGUUUUGCUUAGGGGCUUCCCCACUCAAAAGACUCUGCAUUAAAUGUGAACUGGGCACUAAGAGGUACCCCUGAAUUUAAUAGAAUAAUUUUAAAUUUAAUAAUUUAAUAGAAUUUAAUAGAUUCAUACACCAGAGCUGGAAGAGCCUUUUGAAAUCCUUUUGGCCCUAAGCAUCCAACAUGGAGCCUGCAGGCCAGAUGGGACCCCUAUGACCCUGGGGUACGGUCCACCAGAGAUUUUUAGCAAAAUAAUUUUACCUAAUUAGCUAGUCCACAUGAAACUGUAGCAAGGUCAGUAGGGAUUCACCAUUUGGCCUGCUGCUACUGCUGUGCUACUGAUUGCCUCUACCAAACUUGUAUCAAUUAGUCACUCUGACUCAAGUUGAAUAUAAUUAAAUUCAUGUGGCCUAAACACAUAUGGAUUUUUGACCAUGAGACAAACUCUUAAAAAGGCUGAAUUCCCCUCUCAUUAACAGAGAGAAAACAAAAGUUUGAAUUGUCUUGUCCAAAGUCACAUAUUUAGCUGAAUUGUGACUCCUGGUUCAGUGUCUUUCCCCUUUUAUCAUGUUAUUGUUUUUGUUCAGUCACUGAGUCGUGUCUGACUCUUCAUGACCCCAAGAACCAUAGCAUGCCUGGCCCUUCUAUCCUCUGCUAUUUCCCAAAGCCUGUCCAAGUUCAUGUUUGUUGUUUCCAUGCCAUUAUCCAUCCCUCUCAACCUCUGCCAUCCCCUUCUUUUGUCUUCAAUCUUUUUGCCCAGUAAGACUAUUUUCUCAUUAUAGGGCCAAAGUAUUUAAGCUUCAGUUUCAGUAUUUGGCCAUCUAGUUAAGAGUCCAAAUUAAUUUCUUAAAGUAACCUUUCCUAAAAUCUUGAAGUCAGCUUCAAUUGGCAAAAAGGUGUUUUUUCUCUCAGAUUCUAGACUGGUGUUUUGGCUUGUAACCCAGAGCUUAAGACCUCAAAGGCUCAGGUCUAAACAGUCCAGGAAGAUAUAAAGGUAGCCAAAUUUAAAACUGCUGGGACCACAUGUGUUCUGAUCAUUAUAAAGCAAAAUGUGCUUUACUUGGUUAAUUGGUCACAGAGGCCGAGGGGUUAGCCUUUUGCAAAAGAUUUCCAAAGGAGCCAGGGGAUUAUUUCAAAGACAAAAUUUUGGCAAAUGAGCUGUGAUGCAUAUUUGUGAGGACUUAAUUUGGGGAAUGAUAUUUCACACCAUGUUUUAAUGAAAGAGCUAUUUUAGUUUGAGUACUGGUAAACAGUUGUGUGUUAUCUUCUGUUGAGGUAAAAAGAGGAGAAGGGAAGGGAAAGAAGUAGAAGGCAAAAGAAAGACAGAGACAGAAAGAGAAGGAAGGAAAGAAGAAUAUUCUAGAGCCUGUUUAAAAAGCACUCAACAGAGGGUCAUCCUGCCCACAAAGACCUUUCUUGGUUGGAAAGGAAUAAUUCUGACUGAUCAAAAUCAAACAAUAGCAGAAGACAGUUGAUCAUUCUGGAGAGAGGCUAGAGGAUAGGGGAGACAGUGGUUAGACCCCAUAAAAAAUUUAAUCUUUCUUCACUGCAUUGAGAGGUAGAGGUAAAGAGUCAGGAGGGGAAGAUCUGGGGGAGGGAGUGUAGUAGAGCAAAGAGGAUAGUAGGGAUGGCAGUUAUAUAGAGUGGCAGGGGAAUGCUCCCCCUAACCAUCUGCAUCUCCCUUCUUCCAUUUACCCAUAGUUUUUAAUCUGAUCUGAUGAAAUAUUCCAAUCCUAGCUGGGGGUUCUCAACAGUUUUUCCCUGUCUAAAAAUUCACCUUUUUUCCACUGAUAGAAAUAAUAGAUCAAAUUCAUUGAAUUUCCCAAUAUAAAUUGGAGGGGCCAGUACAAGGAAGCAAAGACCCAGAAUAAAAACUAAUAAACACCUGAGAAGAGAUAACAACAGUUAUCUAUGGAUAUAUACACAAGCAUCUUUAUUGUAGACAUCUGGCAUAAUUAAUAUAGUAAAGAGAAUAAAGCCCUAUGAGAAGCUAUACUUGGCAAGCUAGAGGACAGUUCAGAUUCAGUAUUAAUAGCAAAUGUGACAUUAAUAUAACAAUUAACAGAAUGCUAUAGGAGGACCUAAGAUAUUUGGGCUCUGUUUACAAUUCUUUUAGUUUUUUUGUCUCUGGUGGCUCAUGGAAAAAAUAAAGUGUGCAGAAGCAUCUUAUCAUCCUAGGGUGAGAGAGCACCUACCUUUGACCCUCAUUGCCCAAUGCAUCCUGAACAAGAAUGGCCUCUACAAUACCCAAUAGGGCUUUUGUUGGAGUGGGGAUGGAUGGGUGGGUGGAUGGAGGGAUGGAAAUGCAAUAUCCCAAGACACACAUUUCUACCUUUAGGUAGUUUCAACUGUGAGAAUAUAGAACAACUUAAAAUGUGUGUUGUUUGGUCAGUCAGUCACAUCUGACUCUUUAUGACCCAAUGGACCAUAGACUACCAUGUGCUUCCAGCCUUCACGAUGUCUUGAAGUCUGUCCAAGUUCAUGUUCGUUGUUUCUAUGACGCUAUCUGCAUUUCAUCCUCUAUCAUUUCCUUUUCCUUUAACCCUCAAUCUUUCCCAACAUCAGAGCUUUUCCAGUGAGUCCUGUCUUCUCAUUAUGUGGCCAAACUAUUUAAGUUUCAAUUUCAGUAUUUGACCUUCCACUGAAUAGAUUGAAGUAUUUUAAGUAUUGACUGCUUUGAUCUCCUCGUGGUCCAAAGGACUCUCAAAAGUUGUCUCCAGGAACACAUUCAAAAGCUUUGGUUCUCCAGCAACUCAGCUUUCCUUACUCUAAUUCUUGUUGCCAAGUGUUGCUACUGGAAAAACCAUACCUCUGACUUUGCCAGCAAGGUGAUUAUUGCUUUUUAAACCAGUGACUUGGAUCAAGGCAAAGAUGAUAUAUUUAUUGAAUUCACCAAAAGCACAAAAUUUAGAGGGAUAACUGCCAUGCUGAAGGUUGGACUAAAGCUCCAGAAAGGACUUGGCAUACUCAAAUAAUGGGUCAAAUUGAUUAAGAUGAAAUUUAGUAGGGAUUACUAUAAAGUCAAAUGCUUCCAUUUCAAAGAUCAAUUUCAAACAUAUAAAAUGGGGAGACACAGGGAGGGAGCAAUUUGGAAAAAAUGGGGAUUUUUGUGGGUUGCAAGCUCAAUGAGAGAGCAUAGUACUCAGUUAUAGGCAUUCCAUUUUUGGCAGGAUAUUUAUAAGUCAAAAAGCAUUAGGAAAAAACAACUAGAUGGUGAAGGAAAUUUAAUUCUUUUAAAAUACUAAUAUUUUAUUUCCCCCAAUUACAUAUAAAACAAUUUUUUAACUUUCAUUAAAAUUUUUUUGUUUCAAAUUCUUUCCCUUCCCACCCUCUCUCUCUUUCUUUUCCCUCCUCUCCCUCCCUCCUUACUCCUCCCUGCUUGCUGAGACAAUAAGCAAUCUGAUACAGAUUUUACAUGUACAAUCAUGUAAGACAUUUUUACAUAUUAGUCAUUUUGUGGAAGAGAUCUCAAAGAAAACAAACAAAUAAACAAACAAAAAAGGAAAGACAGAUUGCCUCAUAAUGUUAAUUUAACUUGGUUGAGUUAGCCAGGAGAAGAUAUAGUGGGUCAUGAUAGCUAUAUUCAGGAAUUUGGAGGGCUGUAAAAGAAGAAAGAUUAGACUUAGUCUAUUUGACCCCAGCAUGCAUAACUACAUAUAGUUGGAAGAAAGUAGAAAUUAGUGAUUCAUGUAAGGAAAAAUUUCCUAACAAUCAGAGCCAUCCAAAGGCAGAGUGGGCUACUUCAGAAGUAGUGAAUUCUUUCUCAUUUAAAAGUUUUCAACUGAAAGUACCAUUUAUUACGGAUAGAGAUACAUGUAUAACUCAGAUUGAAUUACUUGCCAAAUCUGGGAGGGGGAAGGGAAGAAGGGAGUGAGACAAUUUUGGAUUAUAUAAUUUCAGAAAAUUUAUGUGGAAAUUUAUUAAAAUAUAAUAAAAUAUGGAUAAAAGACUUUUGCUUAUAUAUGAAUCGAGCUAGAGAUUCCUUCCAUCUCUGAGAUUCAUAAUCAUCAAUAAUCAAAUCAUUUAUUAAGUACCUACUAUUUGCCAGAGACUAUGCUAAGCACUGGGUAUAUAAAGACAAAUAAAAACAGUCCCUGCUCUCAAGGAGCUCACAAUCUAAUGUCUAAGAGAAGAUGUUGAUAGGGCAUAUGAGAUACUCUGAUGAUGUGAUUCAGUGAAAUAUCAUUUAUAAUGUGGGGAUUCUUAGUCCUAGACCCUGAAUCUUUACUACCUGCCUCCAAAUGGCUCUCUAAACUCACUCACCAGUUUUCAAAGCCCUUCUGUUCACCUCAAACCCUCAACUCAGACCUCUUGGUCAGGCAAAGGCUUUGACUGAGGAAAGAUCUGUGGGUUACCUGAAGUUUUACACACAGUGAUCUCUAAUCUGGGUGUCAAACUAACUCACUGAUUCCUUCAGGCGAUUUAUACGCUGGAGGCUCUUUUGAAACCCUAGGUUGCACAAGAGAUAGAGAAAAACAUGCUUGUGAACAUCUGGAUGCUUUGAAAAAGAACAUGUCAAAAACUUAGUGUGUGAGGCAUUUUGAAAAGAAGUAGUGAUUAAUUAAACAGCUCUCCAAGGAGCUGAUUAAGGACAAAACUGUCUUUUUCCCUUUUCUUUGAUGCCAUCUCAGUCCUUCAUCAUUACUCAUCCAUAGAUUGUCCUAUUACUAGAUUGUUUGCUGGACUCUAUAUGGAACUCCAUUUCUUUGGAUGCCUAGGUAUCUAAGUAACAUAGUACAUACAGCACUGGGCUGGGGGAAGAUUUGGGUUCAAAUAUAUCAUUAAACAUAUGCUAGCUAUUUGACCCUUGGCAGGUCUCUUAACCACUGUCAGCCUCAAUUUCUGAAUCUAUAAAGUGGGGAUAAUAUUAGCACCUAUCUCUCAGAGUUGUGGUGAGGAACAAAUAAGGUGGAUGCUUUUAAAGUGCUUAACACAGUGCCUGGCACAUAGUAGGUGAUUAAUAGAUGCUUGUUUCCUUCCUUUCCUUUUUCUUCUUUUGCAAAGACAGAUUUAACUAGGAUACCUUUCUUCCUCACCUAUUUCUCAAAAUUUUUUGCUUCCAUCAAGGCUCACCUCAGGUGCCAUUUCAAUCAAGAGGUUUUUGCCUUAUCUACCUCUAUCUCCCAAUCAGUAUUCCUUUCCUGCCAGGAAUGAGUAUACUUUGCAUUUAUUUAUUGGGAUGCUUAAUAUAUCACCCCCCCCCCAGCAAAAUGUAAGCUUUAUGAAGGCAGGGACUGCUCCAUUUCUAUUAUUGUCCCAGUUGGACCCAAUCAAGGCCCCUUACUGUCUGAUGUUGACAGAAUCAGAGUAGUCCAAGACAUUGGAGAAGAAUAAUUGAAUUGUAUUCCUUUAUACCUAUCUUAAUCUCUCUCAUACUUGAGGGAUUUUUAUAACACUAAGUCCACAUAGUGUUAUAAAGCAAGCCCACAAGCUUCUCUAAGCUGUAGGUGUGUUGAGAGGGGUAUUUUGAGCAGUUAGAGGGUAUAGUGAAUAGAAUGCUGGACAUGGAAUCAAGAAGACCUGAGUUCAAAUGCGGUCUCAAACAUUUACUAGCUAUGUCACCCUGGGGCAAGUCACUUAACCAUGUUGGUCUCUGUUUGCCAUCUGUAAAAUGAGCUGAAGAAGGAAGUAGCAAACCACUCCAGAAUCUUUGCCAAGAAAACUCCAAAUGGGGUCAUGAAGAAUCAGACAUAACUAAAAAACAAUGAGGGACAUUUUACCCUCUGGAGAAUAAGUAAAUAGAAGGUUAUUUUUCCCACCAGGUUAUACUCCUCUGGACUUUUCUACUGUGUUCCAGAAAGCUUUCUUUCCUAGAAGAUGUCUUUAGCACUAGAACUCACAAACUCAUGCUUCAGAAGUCCUCUUUGCCUAUGAUGCUCUUCUCUCUGAUUGAAAAAAAAAGAGGGGUCCUCCCAGAGCUUCCAUUUGAAAUAAGUACCCUGGUCAGCCAUUAUUCUAUUUCCUAUCAUUCUACAUUCUUUAGUUCUUCAAUACUCUCCUGGGCCAGGCAACCCGUCUUCCACCUUCCUUUUAUAUGUUGUAUAUAUCCUCAGCCUUCAACAUAGCACCUCCCACUUAGGCCUUAAUAAAUGCUUCUGACUGAUGCACUGACUUAUAAGCCUCUCCUAGGCAUCAGCUGUCUUUCUUCUCUUCUAUCCCUUGUCCCUGUCUCUUUUAUCAAAGUUUUAUAGGCAAUUAGUAUAUUAAAGGUUUUAUAUUUUAAAUAUUUCAAUUCACUGCGAAAUAAAAUGCACUUUGAGAAGGUGAAUGAGCAGCUAUGAUAUCCAACUUUUAAAAAAAUUUUUAAAAUCUUAAUAACAAAAUUCCACAUAAAUUAUCUGAAGUUAUAUGAUCCAUAUCAUCUCCUUCGCUUAUUCCCUCCCAUUCCUAGAGUAGACAAGCAACUUAAUCUUGGUUAUACAUGUAUUAUCAUACAAAACAUAUUUCCAUAUUAUUCAUUUUUAUAAGUGAAUAAUCUUAUAAAACCAAACAUAUACCCAAACAAGUGAUAAGUCAUAUGUUUUCAUCUGUACUUCUACUCCAAUAGUUCUUUCUCUGAGGAUAGAUAGCAUUCUUUGUCAUAAGUCCCUCAGAAUUGUCCUGGAUCAUUGUAUUGGUGUUAGUAGUAGUCUAUCAAAUUUGAUUGUUCCACAAUUUUGCAGUUUCUGUGUAUAAUGUUCUCCUGGUUCUGCUUAUUUCACUGUGCAUCAGUUCACACAGCUCUUUCCAAAUCUUUCUAAAGCAUGACAUCCAACUCUUGCCUGUGGCUCCAAGAAGCUUAGCAUGCUCAGCAAUAGCACCUCAAUAAAACCAUCUUGGCAACUGGGUUAAGCCAGAUUGAGGGUAAUAGAUCAAACACAAACUGAUCAGUGGAAGGGGGUUGGAGUUCUACUUCAGACAGUCAAAGAAUUCCUCAAGUAGAAUAAGGAAAGUGAGAACAAUUAGCACUUAGAGCUUGGUUAUACAUUGGAAAGAAGCCAAAGUCAUCCAUAGCAUGCCAGCCAAUUGCCAUUUCUCCUGACUUUUGUCAUGAUGGACUUCAAUAACUCUGGAAGAGAGAAUGAGGUUAAUGACUCUGUGAAACUCUGUCUCACUUAAAUGCAAAUCACUUGCAAGUAAAGACAUCAUCCCAUGAUGUCAUUGGUCUUCUUUGAAAACAUAGGACGACCAACAAAAUGCACUUGGAUUUAGAAAAGAAUUGUUUGCUGUUGGUAUUGUUGGUAAAAAAAAAGUCAUUUGCGUCUUACUUUUUAGUAGUGAUUUGAUAUAAUUGAGAAUGCAUGCCUUUAUGAACAAAGAAAACUAAUGUUUUGUUUUAUUCUUUGUUAUCAAUGCUCUUUAUUUUCAGUUAAAGACAUUCUGGUUUUGUGAAGAACAUAAGGGGCUUGGAAUGAGAAGAGACCCAGGUUUAAACCCUUUAUCUGAUACUUUCUAGUUGUCCCCCUCUGGGAAAGUCACUUAACCUCUUCCAGCCUCAGUUUCCUCAUUCAUAAAAUGAGGAUAUAACAAUUCUACCUUGAGGGAUUUACAGUAUUGCUAUAAAGGGAAAAUGAGCUAAUGCUUAUGAAAUCAUUUUUAGAUCUUAAAAGUAUUAUAGAAAUGGUUUCUACUAUUAUUUGUUUCAUUUCUUUCUCCUUUAAUUUUUCAUCAUUUUCAUUUUCUCUCUUCAGUCACUUCUGUGUGUUUUGAGACAUGUUUUAGUUAUUUGUAUGUAGUCCAGACUAAAUAAUAACUUCUUUUCAAUAUUCUCUUUCCCUUCUGAAUCUAGAGAUGUCCUAGGCUGGAGAAAUAUAGUUAGAUUUAUUUCAUGAUGGGAUCUACUUUAAGUUCCUUGUAAAAAAAAUUGCAUAUUUAUGCCAGUUUUUGCUAUACUUCUUCCCUAUAAAUGGCCUAAUUUGGGUCCUUGAAGAUAAUUUGAGGGAGCACAAAAGAGACACAUCAUGAUAAGCAUGGAAAGGUUUCAAGUAUGGAUCCAGUGACCAUCUGGGUGUCUUUUAUCUGAUUACUAGCCUUGGUAAGUGUGGAAAGACUCAUCAAUAGAAGGUUGGCUACCAGAACAUGAAUUGCUCUGGUCAUAGAAAUAUAGGAAGAUUCCAUUUAUGUAGAGGGAUUGCAUUCUAAGUUGGUGGAAAGAUCAUAGGAUCCAAGGUUUAGUGGAAGGUACCUCAAAGGUCAUCAAGUCCAUUACCCCCUUAUGCCAAAUAAGUAGUUGAGGAUGAAAGAUGUUAAGUGACUUAUCUAAGAUCACAGAGGUAUUAAAAGUCAGAGCCACGAGUGAACUUCAGUGCUUUGACUCCAGAGAAAGAGCUCCCUCCAUUAUACUGUUCUGCUUGUCAAAUGGAGUUCCCACAUCAGUAAAAUCUAGUUUGCCUUAAUGUAGUGAUAUAUAGACAUAUUAUAAUGAUAUGUUUUUUGUGGCUAGUUGAUUUGUUGAGAAGCAAAGAAUUGUAUGCACUGGAAAAGGAAGUUUAACUUUUAUUGGUCACCUACAGUACAGGAAUAAGAAAGAGAUACUAUGUGUUGACCUGUGGCUGUUUGGUUGAAUUAUGAUAUUCAAUAAUCUCUCUGAUGUCUUUGGGGGUAGACCACCAGAAAUAUGGGAAUGGAAAAGGAGACAGUAGGGAAUGCAAGAAGAAAAAUGAGGAAGUUCAGAAAUCAGGAAAACCAAUAAGUAAUGGAGAUGUGCACACUAAGAGACAGCCAGCUUCAGAGGACAGAAGAUUGGAUUUGAGUCAGAAAACUGGAGUGAUUUAAUGAUAAGGUAGAAUCAUUGUUUGUCAGGAUGACUUCUUGCUCUUGAAAUGAAAUAACUCUCCUGGAUUAAAUUGCAAAUGUCAAAUGUAAUAAUGCAUGGCCCAUAAUUAGUUCAUGAGGCUUUUAUGCUUUUCAUAUAUCUAAUAACUCAUGAAUCUCUUGGGGGAAUUAUCUUUAAAAUGUAUCCUCAGAUACUUUGACUUCAAUUCUGAGGCAGAAAUUCCCAAGUUUUUAGGUAGAGCUAGAUCCUCAGUGUUCUAAGAAUAAAAUUUCCCUUGAAGAUUCAGAAAUCUGGAAUAGAAGUAGUAAUAGUAGUAGUAGUAGUAGUAGUAGCAGCAGCAGCAGCAGCAGCAACAGCAACAGCAGCAGCAGCAAUAGCAACAGCAGCAGCAGCAACAACAGCAGCAGCAGGAUAUAGAUUUUUAAAGUUUAGGGGGCAUCUGGGUAGCUCAGUGGGUUGAGAGUCAGACCUAGAGACAGGAAAACCUGGAUUCAAAUCUGGCCUCAGAUACUUCCCAGAUGUGUGACCCUGGGCAAGUCACUUAACCCCACUGCCUAGUCCUUACCACUCUUCUGCCUUGGAAUCAAUACACAGUAUUGAUUCCAAGAUAGAAGGUAAGAGUUUUAAAAAAAGAAUGUUUACAGUUUAUUAAGGUUUCCCAAUCUUAUGAAUCUUAUCUCAUUUGAACCUCAUAGCAUGCCUAUGAGAUAAGAAAUUAUUAUCCCCAUUUUAUAGAUGAAGAAACCGAGGCCCAGAAAAUAUGAUUUGCCUGUGGUCAUGCAACUAGUAAUAAUAAUAUUUCUAGAGUAUUUACCAAACACCAUACCAAGUACUUUAUAAUUAUUAUCCCAUUUGGUCCUCACAAUAACCCUAAGGGGUAGGUACUAUUUUCUCCCCAUUUUAUAGAGGAAACUAAAGCAUGUAAAGGUUAAGUGACACGUCCAGGGUCAUGUAGCUAUUAAGUCUUUUAGGCUGGAUUAGAACUCUGGUCUUCCAUACUCCAGUUGGGUCACCCUGCCAUAUUGGAUAUGACCUGCAAAGGAACUGAGCCAAUCAUGUACUGAGAGUCAGAAAUCACAGUUGGAUAUUCUGAAGGGCAUCCCAUACUUCCAAGACAUUAAAAAACCCAAAGGGAACACAUUUAAUUGGUCAUCUAUGGGAGAUUUAUUGAAAACUAUAGACAAGAGUCACCCAAGAGAAGAGGGCAUGGGACAGAGGAGAUUAUAGUCUGUGACUAGAGGUAAUACCUCUGUGGAUGAGAUCCUGAAGCCUUCCAAGUACUGAAAUUAAUUAAAAUGAUGUAUUUCCAGCCUAUAGAAGGUCUACUCCCACAUUAUGCUUAAACUGUACUUUUCAAACCUAUUCCAAUGUGAGUUGCUUUUUUACUUCUCUUAUCUGUCAAAGCACUUGACUUGACUAAAUUCAGGUGUGAUCAUAGACUAGCAGACAAAAUUGCUCAUAGACAUUUCCCUGGAAACCAAAAGGGAAAAAAAUGCAUGCAAACUUUCCUUACAAUAUGUUUUUUGGCAGUGGUCAUUGUUGUGGUCCUGUUGAAAAUCUAUUGGCAUGGAAUGGUUGUGUGUAACUGACAUUUGGUACUUUGGUUUGCAUUCAUGUAAACAGCCAAUUUCUUCAGCUGGUCAGAAAUUGCCAGUGGAAAGGAGACUGAGAGUGUCUCUUCAGUAAAUUCUUGCGGGAAAGACAUACCAUUUUUUAUUUAUGAAGUGGUUUCUGAUGCUUUAGGCCAUUUGGUGACCAGACAUUGACCUUUGUCCUUUUUCUGUGGGACAAUGGAGCAUAUUGUCAGGUGCUAUGGCACUGUUUGGGUGUGCAGGCAUUCUGGGCUUUAAUUAUUGUGGAUAAAGCUGAUGCCAAGUUUGGAAUAAAAUGCUGAUGGCUCAGUAACUUAGGCAACGAAUCAAUAGAAAGAUUGCUGUAUGUUUGGAGGCCAGGAAAGCCACAGUAUCUGUCCAUUCUUGUAUCUAAUUAAGUCUAGAGAGGUUAACUUCUUAGGUUAGACACUUUCCUUGUUUAUUUGAAGGACUUGUUCUAACUGUAUUAGCUGCUUUUACAUGUCACUUCAACAUAUUAAAAAUAACUUUUACCCCUAUUUCUUUCUCUUGGGACAUUCAUGCAAAUAAGUACUAAAAUACAGACAGAGUUUUUUUGAGUGUAUUUAAUUUAUAAUUUGAGAUGACGUGUUAGCUAUGAUUUUUAAAAACCUCUUGUAUAAAACAGACUUAAAAAAAUUAAGGGACCCUCCUUCCCCAGGCCAUGAGCUUUCCAUGUGCUUUGUGAAAUGCAUAUCUUGUCAAUUUUUCAUUAUUAGCCUCAAGUUGUUGGAUUACUCAUUAUUAUUCUUGAGAAGACUGGUACAUAGUGGAGCUGGCAAAAAUCUCUAAUAAUGGUUGAUUCUACGGGCAGCUAUAGGUAACUCUUCAUCACCAUUUGCAAGGCCAUAAUCUUGCCCACAUACACACACACACAUACACACAUGCUUAAUGAUCUGGAAAAGGCUGCAUGAAUUAUAAUCCAUGAGCAGAAUAGAAUAUGGUUAUGAUUGUACCAUAACCUACCAUAAGAAAUGACAAAUAUGAAGACCACAAAGAAACUUGAGGAUUCCAAUGAAUGAUUCACUACAAAAAAUAGUAUAAUGUGUACACUAACUGCAAUUAUUUUCUUAAAGAGUAUUUUAGUAAAACAGCAAUAAAAUGUUCCCCAAAUGCACCAAAGAAAAAGGGACUAUGGGACACAAAGGCAAACAAAAUAUCUCAAUUAUUAUUUUGUUUAAAUAAGUAUACAGAUUUUAACACAGUAUAAAUAGGCUGAAGUCUGUGAUUUUCUGAGCCAUAAUUUUUUCAUGUUAUUUAAUUAAUUCUUUGAUAGAGCUUUUUGAGAGUUAAGAAUUUUCUAAGAUAAACCUAAGGUUUUUUUUGGGGGGAGGGGUUGCCCUGCAGCCAUCGAUAAAUAAUGGUUUAUCACCCAAUAGCUCUAACUUCCUGCCUCAUUCAUUACAGCCCCAAAUGAUAGAUCAUUCAUUACAAUAAUUCUGUCUCUAAAACUCAAACGAUGGGUCAUCCACUGGUACUUUUAUUGCUACUGGAAGGAGAGAGCAUAGAAUAGCUAUUGAAGACUGGAACAGAGGGACUGGUGUUUCCUAACUGUCAUGGUAACUAUACCAUUGGAGCUUAAUUCUCCAUUAAAUUUUUAAGGGAUAUCCAUAGAUGGAGAGACUUAUGCUUGGCCACCUUGACCCAGGAUAAACAGAUACCUUCAAAUCAUCUCAAAUGAUGAAAGGACUCCUUAUAUGUAGCUGUUAUUACUCUUACUUAUCAUACCUAUCUAAUUAGGUGAAUACAGAUAAUUUAUUGAGUAGCAGUGUGUUGCUAUGGAGAUUUGACUUAAAAAGAUUUGUUUAGGGUAGGUAUCAACUCAAGGGACCCAUGCUAAAAAAUUCUAUCUAUAGCUAAAGAAUGAAGUGUUGGUGUGUGAUUUCAGAUCAAAGUAUGCCAUCUUCCACUUUAUUUCCUGCAUGGGAUUUUUACUGAAAAUGUGAUAUGUGUCUUCUCUUAAGACAUGAGCAGUAUGGAAAUAUGUAUUGCAUGAAAGCCCUGGUAUAACUUAUAGAAUACUAUUUACCAUCUGGGGUAAGGAUGGAGGGAAGGGAAGA